This 443-nucleotide long non-coding RNA is filed under the name Elaeis guineensis (African oil palm). Its description in RNAcentral is "long non-coding RNA (EGUI_LNC047756)". The record is from RNAcentral. Lineage: Eukaryota; Viridiplantae; Streptophyta; Magnoliopsida; Arecales; Arecaceae.
CUGAUAUGGUACUCUACCGUAUCUACCCAAGGAUGCCUUUACAUCAGACUCCGGAUUUGAUCUAAUCAACUCCGAUUCUGUUAGUUUGUGUUAGAGUCGGUUCCUCUGCCUAUCAAGCUUCAUCAAGCUUGUUCUUAACGGCAUCAGUUUCUUCACCAAUGAACUUCUUUUUAAAAAAAAAGCCUUAAGAUUCAUGAACAUCUUAUGUCCAUUAGGAAGUUAGAAGAAAUAUCCCAAAAUAAAAUUUAUCAGAUCAAGAUCCAAGCUAGUCGGUUUGUGAACAUUUCACAUAAGCUCGACAUCCCAAACCCUAAGGUAAGAGAGCAUCGAAUUACUCAAGUCCAUAUCUCAUAUAGAGUUUUGGUGAUCGAUUUGCUUGGAACGUUCUUGAGCACAUACCAAGUAGUCUCUAAACAUAACCUCAGGUAGACCAGCAAACCCAC